RNAcentral lists this long non-coding RNA (260 nucleotides) under Elaeis guineensis (African oil palm). Its description in RNAcentral is "long non-coding RNA (EGUI_LNC020433)". Lineage: Eukaryota; Viridiplantae; Streptophyta; Magnoliopsida; Arecales; Arecaceae. The record is from RNAcentral.
AUCUAAGGAUGAGGAGAACUAGUUGGCCAUCUUUUUUGGCCUCCACUUGACUCGUCCGAGGAUGAGUGCCAAUUGACCGUCUUCUUUAGCCUUUGCUCGACUCAUCCGAAGAGAGGAGUGCUAAUUGGUCAUCUUUUCUAGCCUCUACUCGACUCAUCCAAGGAUGAGGAGUGCCAAUUGGCCAUCUUGAGGGAUCCUCAAAGGGUUAGCCCCUUCAUUGUCAUCCUUGGCUGCCAUUUUGCUGUUGCCAUAAUCCAGCC